Molecule: ribosomal RNA, 446 nt
Filed under: uncultured bacterium
Lineage: Bacteria
Description: partial 16S ribosomal RNA
Rfam family: Bacterial small subunit ribosomal RNA
Source: RNAcentral
AACGAACGCUGGCGGCAGGCCUAACACAUGCAAGUCGAACGCUCCGCAAGGGGCGUGGCGCACGGGUGAGUAACACGUGGGAACAUGCCCUUGGGUACGGAAUAACGGCGGGAAACUGCCGAUAAUACCGUAUGAUGUCUUCGGACCAAAGAUUUAUCGCCCAAGGAUUGGCCCGCGUCUGAUUAGCUAGUUGGUGGGGUAAUGGCCUACCAAGGCUACGAUCAGUAGCUGGUCUGAGAGGACGACCAGCCACACUGGGACUGAGACACGGCCCAGACUCCUACGGGAGGCAGCAGUGGGGAAUAUUGGACAAUGGGGGAAACCCUGAUCCAGCCAUGCCGCGUGAGUGCUAAGGCCUUCGGGUUGUAAAACUCUUUCGCGAGGGAAGAUAACGACGGUACCUCGAGAAGAAGCUCCGGCUAACUUCGUGCCAGCAGCCGCCGUAA